Molecule: ribosomal RNA, 253 nt
Filed under: uncultured bacterium
Lineage: Bacteria
Description: partial 16S ribosomal RNA
Rfam family: Bacterial small subunit ribosomal RNA
Source: RNAcentral
UACAGAGGGUGCAAGCGUUGCUCGGAAUCAUUGGGCGUAGAGGGUAGGUAGGUGGUCUCAUUUGUCUGGGGUGAAAGCCUUGAGCUUAACUCAAGAAGUGCCCCGGAAACGGUGAGACUGGAGUCUUGGAGAGGGUCGUGGAAUUCCCGGUGUAGCGGUGAAAUGCGUAGAGAUCGGGAGGAACACCAGAGGCGAAGGCGGCGACCUGGACAAGCACUGACACUGAACUACGAAAGCGUGGGGAGCAAACAGG